GAAAUUGCGAUGAAAAGGACAAGUAAAAUAGAAACAAUUUCCAGAGAAGAUGAGUCACCGGCUGAAAGCUCGUCUAAAUAUGUCUAUUUGAAAACUACCUUGGAGCAGAAUUUAGUAGCAUAUGUGAAAGUAUUCGGUUGACUACCUUAUAGUCGUCUUAAGAGGGUGUAUUAUAUACAUCAACUUGGGUGGAACCGCGAAUUUAUACUCGUCCCAAAU
Molecule: non-coding RNA, 219 nt
Filed under: Romboutsia hominis
Lineage: Bacteria; Bacillati; Bacillota; Clostridia; Peptostreptococcales; Peptostreptococcaceae
Description: T-box
Rfam family: T-box leader
About the family: Uncharged tRNA acts as the effector for transcription antitermination of genes in the T-box leader family.
Source: RNAcentral